UACGUAGGUGGCAAGCGUUGUCCGGAUUUACUGGGCGUAAAGAGCGCGCAGGCGGUCGUUCAAGUCGCGUGUGAAAGCCCCCGGCUCAACUGGGGAGGGUCACGCGAUACUGAUCGACUCGAAGGCAGGAGAGGGAAGUGGAAUUCCCGGUGUAGUGGUGAAAUCCGUAGAUAUCGGGAGGAACACCAGUGGCGAAGGCGGCCAUCUGGACGGUGACUGACGCUGAGACGCGAAAGCGUGGGGAGCAAACAGG
RNAcentral lists this ribosomal RNA (253 nucleotides) under uncultured bacterium. Its description in RNAcentral is "partial 16S ribosomal RNA". It matches the Rfam family "Bacterial small subunit ribosomal RNA", at positions 524 to 776 of the family's 1533-position model. The record is from RNAcentral.